This 256-nucleotide ribosomal RNA is filed under the name uncultured Glomus. RNAcentral's name for it is "partial 18S ribosomal RNA". It matches the Rfam family "Eukaryotic small subunit ribosomal RNA", at positions 624 to 886 of the family's 1831-position model. Lineage: Eukaryota; Fungi; Glomeromycota; Glomeromycetes; Glomerales; Glomeraceae. The record is from RNAcentral.
AAGCUCGUAGUUGAAUUUCGGGAUCGAAUUGUUGGUCGUGCUUCGGUACGCACUGGCAUUAUCGGUUCCUACCUUCUGAAGAACCGCGAUGUCAUUAAUUUGGUGUCGUGGGGAAUCAGGACUGUUACUUUGAAAAAAUUGAGUGUUUAAAGCAGGCUUACGCUUGAAUACAUUAGCAUGGAAUAAUGAAAUAGGACGUUUGAUUCUAUUUUGUUGGUUUCUAGGAUCGACGUAAUGAUUAAUAGGGAUAGUUGGG